Molecule: long non-coding RNA, 773 nt
Filed under: Mus spicilegus (steppe mouse)
Lineage: Eukaryota; Metazoa; Chordata; Mammalia; Rodentia; Muridae
Description: lncRNA (ENSMSIG00000012282.1)
Source: RNAcentral
AUAAGUGAUUUGUAACUGUGUAAUUCUUGCUUUUUCUUCUGUUUUGAAAAGUUAUCCUGAGAGGAUGGGAAGUCAAAUGUAAAGAUGCAGAUUGGCUUUGGUGUGUGGAAAAGUCUAGACCCAGGGACCUGGAUAUGCAAGAUGGUUCUUAAAGAUUCCUUCGCUUUGUCAAGCAAGAAGGAAUGAAUGGACCAUGUAGGAAGUGUAGCUGCACUCAAGGUACCGCCCUUGCUGCCCAUUGGAAUUGUGGAAGCAGGAAGGACCACCUAGCAUUUGUUCUUUUCUUGAGUUGGUUUUGCCUCAAUAGAGGCAGAAAUGGAGCAGCUGUAAGCAGCUAGUCCUGGGGCAGGUAAUGAAAAAGCGUGGCUUUCUUGGCCCUGAUUGCAACCCUCUGUGCAGAUGAGCUUAACUUGGGGCAGCCAACUUGAGAAGGAAGGAGUCUGGAAGAGAUAAUUGUGGACAACAGAGAGCUGGCCUGAAGAUAUUCUGCUGAAUUCUGCAUAUCUCUGAACAGACAUCAGAUAUCAGACACUAAAUUUUCAAGAUGCCUCCAAUCCACAAAAUAGAAGAAAGAAGGAAAAAAGAGACAGGGAUCUUUUUUUGUCAGGAAUCUUGAACUCUGUUGAUUGUAGAAGGCUGUUGGAUAUAAAUGCAUAAAGAAACAUAAAGGAAGGAUGCAUAUGUGUGUGCAUGCACAUGUGCAAAUUCCUGGCAAUACCUGCCUGCAGCCUUCUUCUGCUUCUCCAAGAUAUGUCUGUACAUAAGCUUACAAU